UACGUAGGGGGCGAGCGUUGUCCGGAUUCAUUGGGCGUAAAGCGCGCGCAGGCGGCUGGGCAAGUCGGCCGUGAAAUCUCCGGGCUUAACUCGGAGGGGUCGGGCGAGACUGCACAGCUCGAGGCGGGUAGAGGGCAGUGGAAUUCCGGGUGUAGUGGUGGAAUGCGUAGAGCUCCGGAGGAACACCAGUGGCGAAGGCGGCUGCCUGGGCCCGGACUGACGCUGAGGCGCGAAAGCGUGGGGAGCGAGCCGG
This 253-nucleotide ribosomal RNA is filed under the name uncultured bacterium. RNAcentral's name for it is "partial 16S ribosomal RNA". It matches the Rfam family "Bacterial small subunit ribosomal RNA", at positions 524 to 776 of the family's 1533-position model. The record is from RNAcentral.